ACAAUGUAAGGAUUGACAGGCUGAUAGCCCUUUCUAGAUCCAUUGUGUGGUGGUGCAUGGCCGCUCCUGGUUGGUGAAGUGAUUUGUCUGGUUGAUUCCGUUAACGAACGAGAUCUUGACCAAUAAAUAGGCCGCAGUGUCGAAGUAGUUCGUUGGUUGCUCCUUCGGGAAACUAACCUCGAGCGAGACAGCUGCGUACUAAGCUUCUUAUUGGGACUGUGCGCGUCUAUAGCGCGCGGAAGUGCAAGCCAAUAG
This 255-nucleotide ribosomal RNA is filed under the name uncultured marine eukaryote. RNAcentral describes it as "partial 18S ribosomal RNA". It matches the Rfam family "Eukaryotic small subunit ribosomal RNA", at positions 1228 to 1456 of the family's 1831-position model. The record is from RNAcentral.